Alosa sapidissima (American shad) is the source of this 261-nucleotide long non-coding RNA. RefSeq lists it as uncharacterized. The record is from RefSeq and is a predicted model, not a curated record. The transcript is spliced from 2 exons. NCBI's taxonomy places the organism in Eukaryota, Metazoa, Chordata, Actinopteri, Clupeiformes, Clupeidae.
GUGUGUACAUGUGUGUGUGUGUGUGUGUGUGUGUGUGUGUGUGCGUGUGUUUGUAUAGAGAAGAGCUUGUACAAAAUCACUCUGAAACUUGCACAUUUUGUUAUGAAUUUCAUCUGUACAAAUGCCACUGUAAAUACAGAUUCUAUCUGAGGACUACCUCUUGACCUGUAUAGAAACUACACGACUACUUAAGAUGAAAUAUAUUUUGAUAAAAAAAGAACACCAAUCAGAAUGGGUGUUAAAUAAAAUCCACUACCAUUA